AAAGGACCAUUUUUCCAUUUUGGCAAAGGGGCAUAUAUACACGACAUAUACAGAUCAAAGAAAAAGGGGGUUUUCUUCAUUCACCAUAUUCAUCCUUUCUUUUUUAUCUUCGAACACGCGCACACACAGGAACUGGUCGAAAAAAAAAUGCACUACAAUCUCCAUUUAUUGGAUACAGGGACUGCACAGGGAUCUGGGGAAGUGCAUAAACACAUGCCAGAAAUGGGGUAGAUCGAGAAAGAGGGAGAGAACAGAGAGAGACGAGAGAGAAGAACUUGGUUAGAGAUCGAGUUUUCCAGCCACUCUUCAUCGAAAAUCACUGCACUAGUUUCGAUUUAACUCCGAAACCCAUUAAAAACUCAUCCAAACCAUAUCCAUCACUGAAAAAGUGUAUGGCUAACCCAAUAACGAAAGUUUCGCAAGAUCGAAUCGUUAAAACCAGCCCGAAAUCGAGCUGUUUCGGGUUGAUUCCGGUUGUUUUGAGUUCGGUUUCAGUUUGUUCAAGGUCACCUUUGGUCUGUUUGGGUUAGUAAGUUCGGUUUAGUUUCGGUUUGUUCAGUGUUAAUGUUUAAUACUCUCAAGUGGUUUUGUGGAUUUGGUAUUUGAAUGGGACUGCGAAUUUGGGUUGUUUAGCUCUGAGUUGGUUCAGCCAUUGUUGAGGUUUAUUUUUCGUUCAAUAAUUCGGGCUUUGGCUUCUCUCAUUCGUUAUUAUCGAUUAGAAUCUGAAUCUUUGGAGGUCCCUUUCUCAACUCUAUCCUUUUCUUAUGUUUUCGUAGUUGAAGAUGUGACUUCAUGAUGUUUUGAAUGUAUGUGAAUCCUUGUAAUUCGUGUGGUUUGAUUCAUAGACUUAUACUGAAAUUAAUUAAUGGUGUUGAUCGAAGAUGACUUGAGUUUAUGUUGGCAUAAAUGAAAUCUGGGUGGGAAUGGGAAAUUGAAAGGAUGAACACAGUUUUGUUUGUGACAUACUGAUCAUUGUUUAAUUCUGGAUAAAUAUUAAUUCUGAUCAUUGUGUUAAAAAUGGAUAGGCAAUAUAGGUUUGGGUAGGCAAAUUUUAGAAUUUGUUGUUUGGUUGAAUGUUUGAAUAUGGAAUAUUGGUUGAAUUUUUUUUCUAGUUUAUCGCAUUUGGAUCAUUUGUAUCAUUUGGCCAGGGAAUGCCCCGAAGUACUUUGUAUUGAUUUAUCUGGGGAAUGCCCUGAUGUAUCUUGUAUUUAGAAGAUGUUCGUGGUGAAGGCCCGAGGUGUCGGGUAAAACACGGGAGCGUAGUUAGAAUUAGUUUAGGUUAGCGUAGGUUUAUAUUUUUUUGUUUUUUUUAUAUAUCGGGUUGUAUAAUUGGACUGGACAUUACACUUUGGAUUAUUUUGUUUGUUGUUUGAUUUUUUUUGCGUACUUUUGUGUGAUUUAUACAUUUCGUAGUUUCAAAUUAGCCAAUAUACUUCACCAAGCGACCGUGGUCGAACCACGGGAUUGAGGGGUGCCUAACACCUUCCCCUCAGUCAACAGAAUUCCUUAACUAGAAUCUCUAUUCGCAAAUCAGUUUUAAAGAGUCAAACCAUUUCGAAAAGAAUUUUUCAAAGGUGACUUGGCACACUAGAUUAUGCCAAGUGGCGACUCUGAAUUUAAUUGUAAAUAAUCCUUUUUCGAAAUAAAUUUUUAUUUUUUGUCACUUAAAUAAUAAAAAUCCUUUCGAACCUUAAACCAUAUCUUUUUAGAGUUAAAAAAGAGGUGUGACAGCUCUGGCGACUCUGCUGGGGAAAAUUUUAGAAUUCGAGCUUUUUUUUGGGAGUCGCAUUGGCUUUGUUUGGCAUUACGAGUGUACAAGCAUUGUUUGUGAUUUUUGUUUCUGUUUUCACUUUUGUGCAUUUUUGUGCUCUUUGUUUACAAUAUUUAUCCUAUGUGUUACCGCUUUUAUCUCUGACAUCAUGUGCAUAACCCGAGUCAUUCUUUCCGCAACAAGUCUCGGAGCGCACGUCGUGCGCACGAACUCUAGUUGAGUCACCUUUAUUUUAGGGGGGGGAGCCUUGGAUGUAUGGAGUAGGUGGAAAGCUAAGCAAGGAGACUUACCUCUAAAGCAUUCCUACGUGCUAAAUGUUGCAUCUUUGAGGAUAACGUGGGUGGUCAUUUGACUGAUGUGGGGUAAAGCAUGUGUUAGAAGUAAAGUGUGUGAAAAAAAAACUGUUUUGUAGUUUUUAGAGUUCUUUAUGGCUUUUGUUUUUCACAAUUCAAAAAUUUCAAAAAAAAAAAAGUUUUUUUUCUUUUUACAAUAGGAGGUUUUAUAAAGGAAAAUGCAAAAAAAAAAAAAUGAUGGUAGAAUUUUUGUACAUUUCAUAUAACAAAAAUAUCAAAAAAAAAAAUCCUUUUAUUCCUUUACCACGCAUUCAUAAUUCGAAAAUUUUCAAAAAUUUUUUUUCUUUCAUAGUAGUUGGUGUCAAACUAAAAACCCAAUUUUUUUAAAUUUUUUUAUUAUUCAUCGGUCUUUGGUCGUGUCUCUUAAGUUAGGGUCAGUUUGUUAGUUAAUCUUUAUUUGUCCAAUUUGGACGAACUACGCAUACCUGAUUCCCGUCCCUCGGGGCGGGAUAUAUAGGCAACCCUCGGUGUGUCCCAUAAUAUUUAUUUUGGCCUUAGGCUAGGUCUUUUACCCUGUAACCUAGAGUUGUUAGCCAAGUAAGCUGAUUUUAUUCAGUGUUACUGUUCGGCAAUUUGGAGCCAUGAAGUGGUUUGUCUCAGCGACGUAUGUCCACAUCAAAUUCCCAUUGGUUGGGAACCUUUUGCUCUUAUCAAAUUUUUGAGAUAAUUUCUUAUCUACUACUACAGGAUGGAUCUGUCCACAAAGUCUAGAGUCCUUAUGGUUGUCAAGGUACCCAAAAAGUUGAUCAAGUGGUG
This 2880-nucleotide long non-coding RNA is filed under the name Capsicum annuum. RNAcentral describes it as "long non-coding RNA (CANN_LNC022502)". The record is from RNAcentral. Lineage: Eukaryota; Viridiplantae; Streptophyta; Magnoliopsida; Solanales; Solanaceae.